AACGCGGGCGGCAGGCCUAACACAUGCAAGUCGAGCGGUAGAGAGAAGCUUGCUUCUCUUGAGAGCGGCGGACGGGUGAGUAAUACCUAGGAAUCUGCCUGAUAGUGGGGGAUAACGUUCGGAAACGGACGCUAAUACCGCCUACGUCCUACGGGAGAAAGCAGGGGACCUUCGGGCCUUGCGCUAUCAGAUGAGCCUAGGUCGGAUUAGCUAGUUGGUGAGGUAAUGGCUCACCAAGGCUACGAUCCGUAACUGGUCUGAGAGGAUGAUCAGUCACACUGGAACUGAGACACGGUCCAGACUCCUACGGGAGGCAGCAGUGGGGAAUAUUGGACAAUGGGCGAAAGCCUGAUCCAGCCAUGCCGCGUGUGUGAAGAAGGUCUUCGGA
RNAcentral lists this ribosomal RNA (388 nucleotides) under uncultured bacterium. RNAcentral's name for it is "bacterial SSU rRNA". It matches the Rfam family "Bacterial small subunit ribosomal RNA", at positions 32 to 422 of the family's 1533-position model. The record is from RNAcentral.